This 1185-nucleotide small RNA is filed under the name Pan troglodytes (chimpanzee). Its description in RNAcentral is "processed transcript". The record is from RNAcentral. Lineage: Eukaryota; Metazoa; Chordata; Mammalia; Primates; Hominidae.
GUGUCCUCGCCCCAGUCCUGGGUGAAGUUAACAGGUAGGUGUGAGGAACUGGUAGGCUUUUGGCUAAGGACGCUGGGCAAAGGUGGAAGUGGCUGUGAGAUAAUGCUUGCCUAUCCAGGCUUGCUCCCGCCCCAGUCUGCUCUUUGUGGUGUUGGAAUGCUAAUAAGGAAGCAUUCCCUGCUGCCGGCACGGCCAAGAAUCCCUGGACUGAAGAGGUGCUUCCGCUGAUGAUAGGGGCAGAUCCUCCUUUGCUCCCUUCUAACCUCUGGACAAAGAAGCAGCCAUUCACAAGGGUCAUUGAUGAGGCACAGGUAUUUGGCCUCAGAUUGCUCUCCUAGCUUCUUGCCUUCACUGUACCAUCCUUCUCAAAUUAAGCAAAACGCGGGACAGUCUGAUGCUGGCUAUGAGUUUGACAUCUGCUUCACCUCAGUGCAGAAGAGAGCGAUCCGGACCCUCUGGACAGUGCUAGAUGCCAUUGAUCAGAUGUGGCUGCCAGUGGUGAGGACUUGGCGCCUCAACGAGCGGCACUAUGGGGGUCUAACCGGUCUCAAUAAAGCAGAAACUGCUGCAAAGCAUGGUGAGGCCCAGGUGAAGAUCUGGAGGCGCUCCUAUGAUGUCCCACCACCUCCGAUGGAGCCCGACCAUCCUUUCUACAGCAACAUCAGUAAGGAUCGCAGGUAUGCAGACCUCACAGAAGAUCAGCUACCCUCCUGUGAGAGUCUGAAGGAUACUAUUGCCAGAGCUCUGCCCUUCUGGAAUGAAGAAAUAGUUCCCCAGAUCAAGGAGGGGAAACGUGUACUGAUUGCAGCCCAUGGCAACAGCCUCCGGGGCAUUGUCAAGCAUCUGGAGGGUCUCUCUGAAGAGGCUAUCAUGGAGCUGAACCUGCCCACUGGUAUUCCCAUUGUCUAUGAAUUGGACAAGAACUUGAAGCCUAUCAAGCCCAUGCAGUUUCUGGGGGAUGAAGAGACGGUGCGCAAAGCCAUGGAAGCUGUGGCUGCCCAGGGCAAGGCCAAGAAGUGAAGGCCGGCGGGGAGGAUACUGUCCCCAGGAGCACCCUCCCUGCCUGUCUUGUCCCUCUGCCCCUCCCACCUGCACAUGUCACACUGACCACAUCUGUAGACAUCUUGAGUUGUAGCUGCAGAUGGGGACCAGUGGCUCCCAUUUUCAUUUAGCCAUUUUGUCGCC